This 153-nucleotide non-coding RNA is filed under the name human gut metagenome. The record is from RNAcentral.
UGGUAUAACAAUUCGUUAGUUAAAAGGGAAUCCGGUCAGAAUCCGGGACAGUCACCACUACUGUAUUGCAGACAAUAAAGCGUAAUCCAUUGAUAAGAUAUCGAGAAGGUGCUUUAGAGGUUGAAGCUAAGUCAGGAGACCUGCCAUAGAUGA